UACGAGGGGGGCAAAUGUUGUUCGGAAUCACUGGGCGUAAAGGGAGCGUAGGCGGGUUUUUAAGUCAGGGGUGAAAUCCUGGAGCUCAACUCCAGAACUGCCUUUGAUACUGAGGAUCUUGAGUUCGGGAGAGGUGAGUGGAACUGCGAGUGUAGAGGUGAAAUUCGUAGAUAUUCGCAAGAACACCAGUGGCGAAGGCGGCUCACUGGCCCGAUACUGACGCUGAGGCACGAAAGCGUGGGGAGCAAACAGG
Molecule: ribosomal RNA, 253 nt
Filed under: uncultured bacterium
Lineage: Bacteria
Description: partial 16S ribosomal RNA
Rfam family: Bacterial small subunit ribosomal RNA
Source: RNAcentral